GGGCGCCUAGCUCAGUUGGUAGAGCAGCUGACUCUUAAUCAGCGGGCCAGAGGUUCGAGUCCUCUGGCGCCCACCA
This 76-nucleotide transfer RNA is filed under the name Holosporaceae bacterium. RNAcentral describes it as "tRNA-Lys". It matches the Rfam family "tRNA". From Rfam's summary of the family: Transfer RNA (tRNA) molecules are approximately 80 nucleotides in length. Their secondary structure includes four short double-helical elements and three loops (D, anti-codon, and T loops). Lineage: Bacteria; Pseudomonadati; Pseudomonadota; Alphaproteobacteria; Holosporales; Holosporaceae. The record is from RNAcentral.